RNAcentral lists this ribosomal RNA (442 nucleotides) under uncultured bacterium. RNAcentral describes it as "partial 16S ribosomal RNA". It matches the Rfam family "Bacterial small subunit ribosomal RNA", at positions 338 to 795 of the family's 1533-position model. The record is from RNAcentral.
CCUACGGGAGGCAGCAGUAGGGAAUCUUUCACAAUGGGCGAAAGCCUGAUGGAGCAACGCCGCGUGAAGGAAGAAGGCUUUCGGGUUGUAAACUUCUUUUCUCAGGGACGAAGCAAGUGACGGUACCUGAGGAAUAAGCCACGGCUAACUACGUGCCAGCAGCCGCGGUAAUACGUAGGUGGCAAGCGUUAUCCGGAUUUACUGGGUGUAAAGGGCGUGUAGGCGGGACUGCAAGUCAGAUGUGAAAACCACGGGCUCAACCUGUGGCCUGCAUUUGAAACUGUAGUUCUUGAGUACUGGAGAGGCAGACGGAAUUCCUGGUGUGGCGGUGAAAUGCGUAGAUAUUAGGAGGAACACCAGUGGCGAAGGCGGUCUGCUGGACAGCAACUGACGCUGAGGCGCGAAAGCGUGGGGAGCAAACAGGAUUAGAUACCCCGUAGUC